GAAGAAUCUCUUUAUGACCAUUUAAGUAUACCUCUGCUGAGUAAUUUAUCGCACGAAAAUUGAGACUUACAUGCUGAUUUUCUGACAGCUUGCACUCGAAGCUUUUGAAAAACCAAAAUGUGUAGUACUCCCUCCCAGAAUCAUAAAUAUCUAUUAUUCCUUCAUUAUUCAACCCAUAGAAAGGAUCUGGCACCAGCUUAUUCUUCAACAAGGUUCCUAAAACAGUUCCGGGAACUACUGCCUCGAUCCACGGGGCGGAGGUGCCGGAAGGGGGGUGGGUGGUGGUGAGCUGAGCACCGGUGAGCUCCAAUUCCGUCGAUCUCGCCGCCAG
This 331-nucleotide unclassified non-coding RNA is filed under the name Hevea brasiliensis (rubber tree). The record is from RNAcentral. Lineage: Eukaryota; Viridiplantae; Streptophyta; Magnoliopsida; Malpighiales; Euphorbiaceae.